RNAcentral lists this unclassified non-coding RNA (679 nucleotides) under Fusarium equiseti. RNAcentral describes it as "sequence contains ITS1, 5.8S rRNA gene, ITS2". The stretch from base 189 to 342 matches the Rfam family "5.8S ribosomal RNA". The record is from RNAcentral. Lineage: Eukaryota; Fungi; Ascomycota; Sordariomycetes; Hypocreales; Nectriaceae.
AACAAGGUCUCCGUUGGUGAACCAGCGGAGGGAUCAUUACCGAGUUUACAACUCCCAAACCCCUGUGAACAUACCUAUACGUUGCCUCGGCGGAUCAGCCCGCGCCCCGUAAAACGGGACGGCCCGCCCGAGGACCCCUAAACUCUGUUUUUAGUGGAACUUCUGAGUAAAACAAACAAAUAAAUCAAAACUUUCAACAACGGAUCUCUUGGUUCUGGCAUCGAUGAAGAACGCAGCAAAAUGCGAUAAGUAAUGUGAAUUGCAGAAUUCAGUGAAUCAUCGAAUCUUUGAACGCACAUUGCGCCCGCCAGUAUUCUGGCGGGCAUGCCUGUUCGAGCGUCAUUUCAACCCUCAAGCUCAGCUUGGUGUUGGGACUCGCGGUAACCCGCGUUCCCCAAAUCGAUUGGCGGUCACGUCGAGCUUCCAUAGCGUAGUAAUCAUACACCUCGUUACUGGUAAUCGUCGCGGCCACGCCGUUAAACCCCAACUUCUGAAUGUUGACCUCGGAUCAGGUAGGAAUACCCGCUGAACUUAAGCAUAUCAAUAAGCGGAGGAAAAGAAACCAACAGGGAUUGCCCUAGUAACGGCGAGUGAAGCGGCAACAGCUCAAAUUUGAAAUCUGGCUCUCGGGCCCGAGUUGUAAUUUGUAGAGGAUGCUUUUGAUGCGGUGCCUUCCGAG